RNAcentral lists this long non-coding RNA (556 nucleotides) under Nicotiana tabacum (common tobacco). Its description in RNAcentral is "long non-coding RNA (NTAB_LNC012009)". Lineage: Eukaryota; Viridiplantae; Streptophyta; Magnoliopsida; Solanales; Solanaceae. The record is from RNAcentral.
UAACAUUCAUUAUUUUCCUUUCUCAUUCUUUCCCUAUUUACCUUGCACGGCCAAAGAAAAUUCUUAAAUUUCAAAUAAACCAAUUUGGACUCGAUAAUCAAAUUGAUCUGCUUUUGACCUAAAUACGGAGUAUAUCUUUUUCCAACCAAAGCAAAGUUUUUUUCAAACAUUAACAGGUCAAAAUAGUAAGUGCAAACAAUUCAAGAUUUCAAGCUACACACUGACCAUCCUAACUGCUCCUUAGCAAGUUGCAUUUUUCUUCAGAGAAAAUCGUUAAUUUGCUACUAUGCUAUGAUUAAAACCCUAGAUUUUCUCUUCUCAUAUGGCUAAGUCAGUUUGAAUGCACAAAUAUAGUUUCUAAUCAUAAAGGUAAGUCCUUUUUAUUCUGCUAUUUAACAAGUUUCAAAUAUACAAAUCAUAUUGUUAUAACUUAAGAUACUUGAUGCUUGUAUAAUACUAAUUCAACUUUUUUUUUCUUUUUUCUUUUGUAGUCAGAAGGAGCUUUUUGCUCUCUAAAAAGAUGCAUAUAUUGUAUACUUGUCCGCUGAUUCUGUUU